CCCUCCAAGGUUAUGGCACCUAAUAAGAGACAGAAGCAACUUGUUGAUAAUGGACCUGAUGAAGCCUCCAAGAUUAUGGCACCUAAUAAGAGACAGAAGCAACUUGUUGAUAAUGGACCUGAUGAAGCCUCCAAGAUUAUGGCACCUAAUAAGAGACAGAAGCAACUUGUUGAUAAUGGACCUGAUGAAGCCUCCAAGAUUAUGGCACCUAAUAAGAGACAGAAGCAACUUGUUGAUAAUGGACCUGAUGAAGCCUCCAAGAUUAUGGCACCUAAUAAGAGACAGAAGCAACUUGUUGAUAAUGGACCUGAUGAAGCCUCCAAGGUUAUGGCACCUAAUAAGAGACGGAAGCAAUUUGUUGAUAAUGGACCUGAUGAAGCCUCCAAGGUUAUGGCACCUAAUAAGAGACAGAAGCAACUUGUUGAUAAUGGAACAGAUGAAGCCUACUUAAUCGGGAUGCAAAAGUUUUUGGAUUAUGCUUUUGGAAGAACAGAAGAACUAUAUGAAAUACGAUGUCCAUGUGUCAAAUGUUGCUACACAACUUUAGGAACACGCGAAACAAUCGAGUCACAUUUGAAGGUUUAUGGAAUAAUUCAAAAGUAUUCUUUAGGGGUGUCUGGAAAUGAUUCACCAGGUGCUAUAGGUGUGGGACGAGGCAAAGAACAGGAGGUUAGAUCUAUGCGCUCUAUGGGGGCAUCUGGAAAUGAUGUAGGAUCCUUCCAUCAAAAUUCUCUUUACGCUGGUCAAAGUAUGGCAACACCUUCUAAUAGUACUAGUUCAGAUGCUACCAUAUCUGAUUAUUCUGGUGAAAGUAUGCCAUCUCAUUCUACUGGUACAAGUUCAGAUCCUACCACAUCUGCUGGUCAAGGAAUGCAGAGAACAAAUAAACACCCCUUGGUUCAUGACAAGGAACAAAUGCAAAUUGAUAUUACAUCGCCUCCGUCUACCGAUCAAAUUAUGCAAAACACCCUAAAUGUUGAAACAAGUAUGAUCUUGCAAUUCUACUGUGUUACGAAUUUGCAUGACUGAAUUAUAAUGCUAAAGUAUUUACUAAACAUGAAUUCAAGUAUGAAGUUGGAAAGAAUAUAUGGUAUAAUCAUAAAUUUAUGUAUAUGGCUUUUAUAUUGUUUGCAUAACAUUUCAGACAUUUCUAAAUUAUAUGCAAAUGUAGGUUCAUGUACUACUGGAAAGGUAAGAAGAGGUCGAGGACAGAACAAGUGCCAAGAAGUUGCAUCACUUCAAGCCGGACAGAAGCUGAAAGUGACAUUUUAUAAUAAUCGAACUGUUGGAAGGAAUAGCAAUCUAUUUUCCAGGCACUUGGGAAAAUUAGUUCGUGACCAUAGCAUGUGUCCAUUAGGAGUAUCAUCAUGGGAUGACAUUGAGGAAGAAAAGUUAAAUCACAUGUGGGCAGCUGUUGAGGUAACACGUGUUCAAUUUGCUUAUCGGCUCUUUGCUAACCUGGAAAACACCUUUUGCUUAUGUGGACAACAUAAUUGUCAAUUUGUAGGUUUAUGUUAGCCAAAUUGGUGUAAUAGAUGUGAUGGUGUCAUGGAGUAGGUUUAGAGCUUUAUUAAGAAAGCUUUGAGGACUCUGUAGUUUGGUAGAGCCAGAGUGUGCAAUUGAUCUUGAUCUGGACCUCAAUUUUGUGUUUGCAUUUUGACAAAUGUCCUUUAAAUUUGUACUAGCCUUCUUGUUAGUGGCAUUGUAUGGGUUGCUAUUUGGAAAAAAAUAAACUAAUAUUCCUUACUUGGUAUCAAUAUGCAACUAUUAGAUACAGUAAACAAGAAUUCACCAUGUCUCUUUAAAGAAUAUCCUGGUUGUAUCACUUUUUGACUGGUUAAAAGCUGCUUUACCUUGUACUUUUUUCAUUUUAAUAGUUACAGACUUACAGUUUCUUAAAACAAAAAGGAAGCUGAUCCAGUACACUGUCUUUCUCUUUCUCAUCUCAUAAAAAAGGGGGUACAACAAGGAGCUGAUCAAUUGUCUUAUUGCCCAUAUUCUUGGUUCAAUCACCUUCCUAAACUGGUUAUGCUUGAAGCAGGACCCUCCUUAAUAUGGAGCAGUAAGCCCAAAAAUGGAAAUACAAAUGGAUUUUCUUGUGAGGGAAGUGAUUGGGUGUGAUAAUUUACAGUAGAGAUUACUAUAAGUGAAAAAGGGAUAUCCAAUAGUCUUAAUCCCUGAAAAGGUUCUUUUUUGUACUUUUUGCAAGUAGAGGUUCAGCUAUUGAUUUUGGCUUAUUCUAAUCUGGUGUUAGGGAAACAGAUAUCUGCUAUUGAUAAUCUGGUUUUUGGAGUAAUGCAUAGAUAAAAUUUUAAAAACUUGUUACGUAGCAGAAAACUGGACUCUUCGCUAGGUGGCACAUUGGAGAUACAGUCAAUCUUUUUGGAGUUGUGCAAGUAUCAUGUAUGCCACUAGUCUACAUAUCAUCUAUGUUGAACCUGUGAGUGAAACAGCGGGGGAUCCUCUGCUGUGAGCAUCAAUAAUCUUGUAAUUUCAUCAUACUUGGUGGUUUUCAUUAGACUAAGAAGCAUUUAAACACUGUGAUUUUCAUCUUACUAUGAACUAUUAUUCUUGGUACUGGCAGGAAGAUGAUCUCUGCAGUUAUGUUUUCAUAUGCAGCAAUUAUUUUUUAUAUAUGUAUUAUUUUUUACUAAAAUAUGUUUAUCUUAACCAAAAAAAUUGAUUUAUUGUAGGAAAAAUUUGAGAGUGAUGAUAUGGAUAGUCAUCGCGGUCACAUUUUGGGAUGGAUGAAAGAAUUAUGGAACAAAUGGAGAGGACAAUUACAUUUUAAGUUUGUGAAAGGUAAGCCAAUCCAAGAGGCUCUUAAGAAUACACCAAAGGGCGUUGACAAGAAACAAUGGGA
RNAcentral lists this long non-coding RNA (2863 nucleotides) under Solanum tuberosum (potato). Its description in RNAcentral is "long non-coding RNA (STUB_LNC004273)". The record is from RNAcentral. Lineage: Eukaryota; Viridiplantae; Streptophyta; Magnoliopsida; Solanales; Solanaceae.